Molecule: ribosomal RNA, 380 nt
Filed under: uncultured eukaryote
Lineage: Eukaryota
Description: partial 18S ribosomal RNA
Rfam family: Eukaryotic small subunit ribosomal RNA
Source: RNAcentral
CAAUAGCGUAUAUUAAAGUUGUUGCGGUUAAAAAGCUCGUAGUUGGAUUUCUGCUGAGGAUGACCGGUCCGCCCUCUGGGCAGGUAUCUGGCUCAGCCUUGGCAUCUUCCUGAAGAACGCAGCUGCACUUGACUGUGUGGUGCGGUAUUUAGGACAUUUACUUUGAGGAAAUUAGAGUGUUUCAAGCAAGCGCACGCCUUGAAUACAUUAGCAUGGAAUAAUAAGAUAGGACCUCGGUUCUAUUUUGUUGGUUUCUAGAACUGAGGUAAUGAUUGAUAGGGAUAGUUGGGGGCAUUCGUAUUUAACUGUCAGAGGUGAAAUUCUUGGAUUUGUUAUAGACGGACUACUGCGAAAGCAUUUGCCAAGGAUGUUUUCAUUGA